GUAUCUCCGCUCCAUAGCGUAUAUUAAAGUCUGUUGCAGUUAAAAAGCUCGUAGUUGAAUUUCGGGAUCAAUAUAUCUGUCGUGCCUUCGGUACGUACGGGUAUAAUUGGUUUCUACCUUCUGAUGAACCUUGAUGCCAUUAAUUUGGUGUCUUGGGGACUCAGGACUGUUACCUUGAAAAAAUUAGAGUGUUUAAAGCAGGCAUACGCUUGAAUACAUUAGCAUGGAAUAAUGAAAUAGGACGUUCGAUUCUAUUUUGUUGGUUUCUAGGAUCGAUGUAAUGAUUAAUAGGGAUAGUUGGGGGCAUUAGUAUUCAAUUGUCAGAGGUGAAAUUCUUGGAUUUAUUGAAGACUAACUACUGCGAAAGCAUUUGCCAAGGAUGUUUUCAUUAAUCAAGAACGAAAGUUAGGGGAUCGAAGACGAUCAGAUACCGUCGUAGUCUUAACCAUAAACUAUGCCGACUAGGGAUCGGAUGAUGUUAAUUUUUUAAUGACUCAUUCGGCACCUUACGGGAAACA
This 518-nucleotide ribosomal RNA is filed under the name uncultured Glomus. RNAcentral describes it as "SSU rRNA". It matches the Rfam family "Eukaryotic small subunit ribosomal RNA", at positions 579 to 1099 of the family's 1831-position model. The record is from RNAcentral. Lineage: Eukaryota; Fungi; Glomeromycota; Glomeromycetes; Glomerales; Glomeraceae.